CCUACGGGUGGCAGCAGUGGGGAAUAUUGCACAAUGGGGGAAACCCUGAUGCAGCGACGCCGCGUGAGGGAAGAAGUAUUUCGGUACGUAAAGCUCUAUCAGCAGGGAAGAAAAUGACGGUACCUGACUAAGAAGCCCAGGCUAACUACGUGCCAGCAGCCGCGGUAAUACGUAGGGGGCCAGCGUUAUCCGGAUUUACUGGGUGUAAAGGGAGCGUAGACGGGACGGCAAGCCAGAAGUGAAAGGGCAGGGCUCAACCCUGUACAUGCUUUUGGAACUGUGGUGCUAGAGUGCAGUAGAGGUAAGUGGAAUUCCUGGUGUAGCGGUGAAAUGCGUAGAUAUUAGGAAGAACACCAGUGGCGAAGGCAGCUUACUGGACUGUAACUGACGUUGAGGCUCGAAAGCGUGGGGAGCAAACAGGAUUAGAUACCCCGGUAGUC
RNAcentral lists this ribosomal RNA (440 nucleotides) under uncultured bacterium. Its description in RNAcentral is "partial 16S ribosomal RNA". It matches the Rfam family "Bacterial small subunit ribosomal RNA", at positions 338 to 795 of the family's 1533-position model. The record is from RNAcentral.